CUGGUUUCUGGCUUUGUGCACGUCUCUGAUCUGAAUAUCUUCAGAUGGUGUCUGGGACUCUCUGAGAUAGCCAGAACAUCAGGAACUUCAGUCCUGGUGGAUGCUGGGAUCUGUAACCAUCUUCCUGUGGAACUCUAGUCCCAACCUGACAGCUUAACAGUGGCUCAGACACCUGAAAAUGCCAACGGGUAUUUGGCAAAGGGGCAGAGCUGCCAGACACAUCUUAAAAUUUAUUGAUUUCAGUGCAGGAUUGAGCAUCUUCAACUAGGAUUCUGCUCCUGGCUUUGUCACUGGUCACUUGUCAUCUUUGGAUAGGACACCGCCUUUACCAUGCCUCUGCUGCCUCUUCCGUAAAAUGAAGUGAGAAAGAAGCUCCUGUAUCUCAUGGGGAUGAUGACAACCACUCCCCUCUGUCAACUCCUCUCUUUUGCCAUUUGAUUUCACAAGAAGAAUCGGGUCAGUGCACUGAAUGACUGUCUGGUUUCUGUAGGACCUGCUGGAAGUGGCUCAGAAGAGCACAGUCAUGCUAAGCCAGCUCUCCUGCAGGUAGAGCUGUGCCACUGGGAGGCAUGACCUCACUGAGGGCUGCUGUGAGACAUGGCUCUGCAUCCUAUUUUGCUUCUUUGGCAAGGUCAUGUUCCAGUGACAGAGCCAGCCUUGGUAGAAUUGCCAACAUCCAAAGGCCAGUGGCUCAACAGGUGUAAAUCAGCACUCAGUCUCUCUGCUUGUGCCCACUAGAAACCACAGAUCUGGGCUGUUGUGGACCUCCUUCUUUUCUGAAAUGGUCCCGAAUUUUAAGGCUGAAAUUUUGCUCAGUGGAAUAGAUGAUAGAGCAUUCUUUUAAUGCUAGGUGUGAGGCCGUGGUACAGCUUGCCUGAGGUGGCACAGCAGGGGGGCAAGUCAAGAUCAUGCUCAAGGUGUCCUCGCCGCAUGCUGCACUGCUGCUGCCUUGCUCCCUCACAUGGACAUUUCCCAGAAGCCCGUGAAGGUUGGUCACAUUGAGGUCAGUUGGCAACAGAAGACCAAAAAGUUAUAAAGUUUACCUCUCAUGGCAAGUUAGCUUGCUUUCAUUUCAUGUUUCCACC
Molecule: long non-coding RNA, 1085 nt
Filed under: Calidris pygmaea (Spoon-billed sandpiper)
Lineage: Eukaryota; Metazoa; Chordata; Aves; Charadriiformes; Scolopacidae
Description: lncRNA (ENSCPGG00000002597.1)
Source: RNAcentral